This 401-nucleotide long non-coding RNA is filed under the name Cyanistes caeruleus (blue tit). Its description in RNAcentral is "lncRNA (ENSCCEG00000013815.1)". The record is from RNAcentral. Lineage: Eukaryota; Metazoa; Chordata; Aves; Passeriformes; Paridae.
CAGAUUCAAGAAUGAACUAAAUAAAAAUUAUGUGAUUUAGAGGGGUAAUAUCUAAUUUCAUACAUUCAAAAAACAAACAGGAAUUUUUAAGCAUUCACUUGAACUUAUAAAGCUUCACUUUUUGUUCACUUUUUUUUCACUUGGGUUACUUUUCUCUCUUAUUUCAGCUGGCAUUUUUCUGGCACAACGUAGAAGUGGCAUGGCCCCCCUGCAGAGUAUUGGUUCCUAAGGAAUUUUAUUAGGAGAACUCUGAAACUCCAAGGCAGUUACAUUAUUACUAAAGAGGUUUCAUGGUGUUUUAUGGAGCUUCAGCAUUUCCUCUUCCAUGAAGAGAAAAGCUCCUGGGAAGAAGAUAUUCCUCAGGCAGUUUCACUUCUUCAGGAGACUGCAGAUGUGAUAAG